CCUUUUUCGGUUAUCAUGGUACCGAUGCUGUAUAUCUGAAAGGUACAGUACUGUGAUAACUGAAGAAUGGUG
Molecule: microRNA precursor, 72 nt
Organism: Choloepus hoffmanni (Hoffmann's two-fingered sloth)
Lineage: Eukaryota; Metazoa; Chordata; Mammalia; Pilosa; Megalonychidae
Source: Ensembl